This 174-nucleotide ribosomal RNA is filed under the name Clavariaceae sp. RNAcentral's name for it is "partial large subunit ribosomal RNA". It matches the Rfam family "Eukaryotic large subunit ribosomal RNA", at positions 99 to 261 of the family's 3401-position model. The record is from RNAcentral. Lineage: Eukaryota; Fungi; Basidiomycota; Agaricomycetes; Agaricales; Clavariaceae.
AGGGAAAAGCUCAAAUUUGAAAUCUGGCAGGUCUUGCAUCUGUCCGAGUUGUAGUUUAGAGAAGUGCUUAUCCGCGUCAGGCCUGUGCAUAAGUUUCUUGGAACAGAACAUCAUAGAGGGUGAUAAUCCCGUCUUUGGCACAGUGUCCCUGGGGCUUUGUGAUGCACCCUCGAA